AUGAAUGUGAAUGAAGAUUAUGGAGAACUUUCUUCAGUAGCAAGGCCGACAAAUUUCAUAGUGCAGGCAGGGGUUUGGAAGUACAUGCCGCAGUAUAUAUGGUGGAAGGAUGGAAGGCUGCAUGCCUCCCCUAUCUUUCCAUGGUACAGAGAAAUGCAAUCGCAAUCAAGCACUAAAUAUGUUGCAAUGGACAUGACCCCAAAACUUUCUCCCUCUCUUUUAUUUGAGGCACACUUUACGCUGCUCGGUCGACUAGGCCGUCGCGACGCUGUGGGAGAAGGACAUCGGUGCAGAGCAUGGCAAAGCUGA
RNAcentral lists this ribosomal RNA (309 nucleotides) under Triticum aestivum (bread wheat). RNAcentral's name for it is "partial small subunit ribosomal RNA". The record is from RNAcentral. Lineage: Eukaryota; Viridiplantae; Streptophyta; Magnoliopsida; Poales; Poaceae.